Molecule: unclassified non-coding RNA, 245 nt
Filed under: Hevea brasiliensis (rubber tree)
Lineage: Eukaryota; Viridiplantae; Streptophyta; Magnoliopsida; Malpighiales; Euphorbiaceae
Source: RNAcentral
ACUGGAAUCCUUACAGAGCACUUAGAGAAAGGUCGUUUAGAAGCAACGCCAAAUGGUGAACGAGCCGGAGCUGCUCUGGCUCCGACGCUCAGAAGAGUCGCAGCCUUGCCGGAGGAGGAUCGGAAAAUGGCCCUGGCGGCAAAGGAAGCCAUCGGCAAAUCUGAGAAUGCAGCCACGAUGAACGAACGGAGUUCCGUCUUAGAUUUAGGGCAUUGAUAUGCUAAACCCUGCCGCCGCUACUAGAG